Molecule: ribosomal RNA, 499 nt
Filed under: Bacillus pumilus
Lineage: Bacteria; Bacillati; Bacillota; Bacilli; Caryophanales; Bacillaceae
Description: bacterial SSU rRNA
Rfam family: Bacterial small subunit ribosomal RNA
Source: RNAcentral
AACACGUGGGUAACCUGCCUGUAAGACUGGGAUAACUCCGGGAAACCUAGAGCUAAUACCGGAUAGUUCCUUGAACCGCAUGGUUCAAGGAUGAAAGACGGUUUCGGCUGUCACUUACAGAUGGACCCGCGGCGCAUUAGCUAGUUGGUGGGGUAAUGGCUCACCAAGGCGACGAUGCGUAGCCGACCUGAGAGGGUGAUCGGCCACACUGGGACUGAGACACGGCCCAGACUCCUACGGGAGGCAGCAGUAGGGAAUCUUCCGCAAUGGACGAAAGUCUGACGGAGCAACGCCGCGUGAGUGAUGAAGGUUUUCGGAUCGUAAAGCUCUGUUGUUAGGGAAGAACAAGUGCGAGAGUAACUGCUCGCACCUUGACGGUACCUAACCAGAAAGCCACGGCUAACUACGUGCCAGCAGCCGCGGUAAUACGUAGGUGGCAAGCGUUGUCCGGAAUUAUUGGGCGUAAAGGGCUCGCAGGCGGUUUCUUAAGUCUGAUGUG